GGGACGGCAGCCAAGUUGAAUUUCAGGGCUUUCAGAAUCCAACCAGGAGUGCAUAGGCCUAUCCACAUCUUCGACUGACAUGGAUAUCCAGUGAAUGUGGAACUGACCAAAUCUCAUUGUGUUGCCAGCUUUGGAGGCCAAAAAUCUGACCGAAGCAGUUGGCGUGACAGCAAUUUCUCGCCUGGUGUUGCACGGACUGAUGUAUGGUGACAGAUCGAGGAGUGGUCUUUGUUGGGGUGAGUGUUUGCGCGAGGUCAAAGGGUGAAACAGAUGCUUUACCUGCAGUACUGCAGCGGACAGGCCUGCUUCUCAGCGACAGCUGCUCCCGUUCAGGAAGACAU
Alosa sapidissima (American shad) is the source of this 341-nucleotide long non-coding RNA. RefSeq lists it as uncharacterized. The transcript is spliced from 3 exons. The record is from RefSeq and is a predicted model, not a curated record. Lineage: Eukaryota; Metazoa; Chordata; Actinopteri; Clupeiformes; Clupeidae.